UGGUAAUUAGUUUAAAUUAAAACAAGUGAUUUCGACUCACUAGAUUAUGACUGGUCAUAAUUACUAA
Molecule: transfer RNA, 67 nt
Filed under: Syntheosciurus brochus (Bangs's mountain squirrel)
Lineage: Eukaryota; Metazoa; Chordata; Mammalia; Rodentia; Sciuridae
Description: tRNA-Arg
Rfam family: tRNA
About the family: Transfer RNA (tRNA) molecules are approximately 80 nucleotides in length. Their secondary structure includes four short double-helical elements and three loops (D, anti-codon, and T loops).
Source: RNAcentral